CCGACAUUAUUUGCUUUUGAGGUUAUUUGUUUUGUGAUGAAAAAAACGAAAGUAGAUAUAAAUAUGUGUGAUUUGGAAUACUUGGAUGUGUUAGAAUACUAUUGAGAGUGUCCGGGGACCCAACAGAAUGCGUCAUCGACAAAAUCUCUUCAAAUUACCUGACGACAAUUUUCGAUAUAAAUAUCGAUUUACGUUUUUCGAAAUAAUAGUCAAUUGAAUGCAUGAUGAUAAUCCAGGAUGAUCCUAUGAUGCUCAACUGGGCUCGCCAUAAAAUUCAAGACUAUUUUGGCGUUUUGCACGCCGUAUCUCUGCCAGUAAUAUGCAAUGUUUGUAAAAGACUGGAAGCUUGCUAAAAUGUACAAAAAUGCCUAGAUGAGAAAGGGAACAAGAUUGUGUGAUGAAGAACAGUGUCCAACAUGUAUCAGUGCAUUUGACUGUAUAAAUAGACAUCGGAAUAAAAUAUAAUUUUCUACUUU
This is a long non-coding RNA of Helicoverpa armigera (cotton bollworm), 476 nucleotides long. RefSeq lists it as uncharacterized. The transcript has 2 exons. The record is from RefSeq and is a predicted model, not a curated record. NCBI's taxonomy places the organism in Eukaryota, Metazoa, Arthropoda, Insecta, Lepidoptera, Noctuidae.